This is an RNA transcript of Callithrix jacchus (white-tufted-ear marmoset), 4688 nucleotides long. RefSeq lists it as uncharacterized. The record is from RefSeq and is a predicted model, not a curated record. NCBI's taxonomy places the organism in Eukaryota, Metazoa, Chordata, Mammalia, Primates, Cebidae.
GCCCAGCGCUGUGUGCGAUGCCCUCCCCCUGCCAGAAGCCCCUCCUCCCCCACCAGAAGCCCCUCCUCCCAGCUCUCCAGCUUGCGCAUUAAAGCAGGCUGUGCACCUGUCUGUUGUGAUGAAACAGCUGGUUUUUUCCUGAUGUUUGGUUCAGGGCAAAUUCACAGCAGUGAAAUCAGAACCAGACAAAGCCCCAGGCAGGUCAGCUGACCCCUUUCACCCAGCAGCCCUGCUGAGGAUGGGACAGGCUGGGGUAGCUCGUUUUCCUGACUGUGGACAGGCAUGGUCGGCUCCUGUGCAGUCACGGCUCACUGCAGACGUGAGGGUUGAUCUUCCCACCUCAGCCUCCUGAAUAGCUGGGACUACAGGUGCACGUCCCCACGCUCAGCUAAUUUUAGUAGUUUUUUGUACAGAUUGGGGACCUCUUAUCAUGUUGCCCAGGUUGGUCUCAAACUUCUGGGGUCAAGCGAUGCUCCGGCCUCGGCCUUCUAAAGUGCCGAGAUUACAUGCCUGAGCCACCGGCCCAGCUUCCCGUCAGUUUUUUUUUUUUUUUUUGGUGGUGUCUUGCUCUGUUGCCCAGGCUGGAGUGCAGUGGUGCAAUCUCAGCUCACUACAAGCUCCGCCUCCCAGGUUCAAGCGAUUUUCCUGCCUCAGCCUCCUGAAUAGCUGGAAUUACAGGUACUUGCCAUCAUGCCUGGCUAAUUUUUUGUAUUUUUAGUAGAGCUGGGGUUUCACUGUGUUAGCCAGGGUGGUCUUGAUCUUCUGACCUGGUGAUCCGCCUGCUCACUACAAGCUCCGCCUCCCAGGUUCAAGCGAUUUUCCUGCCUCAGCCUCCUGAAUAGCUGGAAUUACAGGUACUUGCCAUCAUGCCUGGCUAAUUUUUUGUAUUUUUAGUAGAGCUGGGGUUUCACUGUGUUAGCCAGGGUGGUCUUGAUCUUCUGACCUGGUGAUCCGCCUGCCUCGGCCUCCGCCUCCCGAAGUGCUGGGAUUACAGGCGUGAGCCACCACGCUGGCCUCAGUUGAGUUCUAAUUCCUCAAAGUGAACUUGCAACUGUAGCAAGUUGUGAGCAGGGCAGGCUCCUGCUCUGUGUUCUGCCGGCCAUGUGCCGGGAGCUCCCAUUCCUAGGUUGAACUCCUCACCAGGUGGCGGCACAGGAGGCAAGGCCUCUGCCGGGCCAGGAGGUCGGGGUAAUGGCUCUCAUGAGAUGAGGGCCCCAUAAUGGAGACCCGGGGGAGCUCCUUGGCUCCUUUCGCCCUGUGGGACACAGGCUGGAUGAAGGCCCUCCUCUGGAGCCAGAGUCUGCUUGAAGCCUCAGGUCCGUGGUCAUGUGUUAGGGCUGCAGGAGCUGAGACUCUGGGGCCUCACUGCCACCUGCCAGGGGCUUUGAGGCAGCUUCUUCUGAAUUGGGGGGUUUCUGGGGAAGGACAGAAGCAGUGGGCCUCUGGCUCAUGCAGACCUGUCAGCCACCGUCUGAUUGGCUCACCGUGUUGGCGGAGCAUGGGGACCAGCGUCCUCGGGGAGCUUCCUGUCCACUGCUGCUCAGCCCCCUGGUUCUAGAGAACCGGGCUCUGCGGAUUCAGCCCUGACCCCCGUCUUUGGUGGCCGAGGGAACAGGCCUGGAGUGGAUGUGGUGUGGAAACCCAAGAUGAACACUCGGACCUCUGUAUUUUCCUUUCAGUCACGGCUACAGGUAGGCCUUGAAAAACAUGGAACCAUAAACACACAUCACUGAGGGAAAGAAAACGCUGCACACCGAUUCCAACCUUAAGGACCAAAAACAUCAGAGGUGCAGGGGCAGGGAGGCGCAGGAGGACGCCAGGGCACACGGGUCCUCGAGGCCCCAUAGUAGUGAAUCCACAUUGUCAAAGGCCUGUGCACACCCAUGGGACUGAAGGUGCAGAGUGUGAGCUGGGCGGGGACUCUGGGUGCGGGGUGAUGACAAGGGCACACCCAGCAGCUGUCAGCAGUGUGCCCUGGUGAGGGAGGCUAGGCAGGGCAGGGCAGGGGCAGGGUUGCAUGGGGACUCUGCAUCUUCUGCUCAUUUUAAUGGGAGCCUAAACCUGCCCUGACAUAAGCCUACUUAAGAAAACGGCUUCAGGCUGGGCGUGGUGGCUCACGCCUGUAAUCCCAGCACUUUGGGAGGCUGGGGCAGGUGGAUCACGAUGUCAGGAGUUCGAGACCAGCCUGGCAAACAUGGGUAUAACCCCUUCUCUACUAAUACAAAAAAAUUAGCCAGACACGGUGGUGGGCACCUGUAAUCCCAGCCACUUGGGAGGCUGAGGCAGGAGAAGUGCUUGAACCCGGGAGGCGGAGGCUACAGUGAGCCGGGAUAGCACCACUGCACUCCAGCCUGGGAGACAAGACUGUGUCUCAAAAAGAAAAAAAGGCUUCAAAAACCUUUGCUUCUUGGAAACACCUACUUUUAAGUAAAAUAAUAUAACCAUCUUCAUUAAAGUCUUCAAUGGAUGAGCAAGACUUUGAAUGACCUUGGCUGUCGAGGGGGAGUGUCACCCACAGGAGCCAGCCAGCCAUGGCUCCACGGGCAGCCACUCCGCACCACACCCACACAGGCCUACCAUGCAGCCCCCGAGUCCCCAGAGUUUUCAGGAACCACUUCCAAAAGACACACCAUUGUGACCGGAGCCACUGGCAAAUACUAGGGUUCUUCAAACCACAUUUCAGCACAUUCUUCACUUUAAUUUAUAAAACAAACGACUGAAUGUGAAAGUCUCCCUUUGACGGGCACAGCAUUAUUCACACAUUUUGUACAAGAGCAGCCCACCUGCUAACCUGCACGCUGUUGGCACGUGGCAGGAUUUGGGUACAGGUCUACGGUUCACAGAUCGAGGAGGCUCGUGGAAGGCGGUUUGCUCCUUAGCACUUCUGGGACACACUGGGGUCUCUCCCACUCAGGGUGGGGUCCUGGCAGCCCCACUCCUCCAGCAGGUGUGACUGCAGCGGCCACAGGCCGGACCCCGCUACCUGGACAUCCCCACACUGGUCUGGGAAACCUGUGAGACCCAGUGUCUCCUUGGCUCCUGCCUCUGCCCUGGGGUUUCUUACUUUCCGUCUUUGGAGUUAAGUGUCACCGGCUAAGGUUGGGAGGGUGGCCGAAACUUGUCUCCACAUUCCACCCAGAAGCCUGAGCUGCGGGAGGGCAGGGUGGCCAAGGUCUCGGGCCGUGGGCAUGGACAAGGGGCCGGCAGUAGGCUCAGCGCUGGCAUUCGUGUCCUAGCACCUGGGGCCUGGGUGAAAUCCACGAUGCUGUGCUCAGUGCAGGCAAUGGCAGCACCCUGAGAAACCUGAGUGUCGGGGGUGGCUGGGCUCACCUACUGGGUAUGGCCUGGAGGCGCCAACCUCUGACUUGAGAUUUUCUUUAUCCUCUCCUCCCCAAGCCACCAGCUGCACCAUGGGCUGGGGUGGCCCUGAGUCAUGGAGGCCUGGGGUCUCUGUGCUUGGCUGAGGGGUGCGUGGCAAUUCCACAUCUGUGCACUAGGCCUUACUCAGAGGUACAAGGUGCUGUGACCCUCUCUCCCAGGGAGCCCAGAAGAUGGCUCAGCCACACCUGGCACCUAGCAGACCUGCCUCUAGGAGCCUCAGCUCUGGGCAGCUGUCCCUUCACCUGAGGAGCGGGAGCUCGGGACCACCGCCCCGUCGUGUCCUGCUGGCUCCUAAACUUCCCCCCUACAUGUGGGUUGCGUCUGAACGUGAGACAAGUGCCACUCACGGAAAAAAGGCAUCAGAGGAGCUUCGACAUCAUCGGAACAUUUUAUUCCUCAGGACGCUACACGCUCGCUUUCCUGGCGCAGCAGAUCAGUGCACGGAGUUGUGUUUCUGUGGAAGAUGUGCACCUCCGGAACUGCACGACAGCCCCUCGGCAGGGUCCCACGGUCCGCUGUGACGCAGGCGCAGCAGCAAGUUCCUCUGGCGCGGAGCUGGUCUGCUGGGCCCAGGCACGAAGGGCCGUUCCGCUCCAGCAGCGCUUGCGACUUCCUCCGCAGUCUCGGCGCGAGCGUCCAUCCCCAGCUGCCCUUGGAGCCGUGCCCAGCCUGGCAUGCAUAUGCGGUGGUGAAGGAUACAGUUAAAGGGUCAAUCCCGCGUGUCCACAACAGAGAUGCCCGCAGCCUCACACGGACUCCUCCGUGGACAGCAGUAGCGGGUUGAUGUACUCGAAGCCUUCGAACUCCGACUGGUCAAUCCUCUUUAUGGUGUCCCUGUGGGCAAGAAGAGUGGGAGGAAGGCGGGGGAUGACCGUGUGUUCAUUCCCUUGGGGGAGCGGAGUCACAUUCACCUAAGAUUCCUCCCCCCACGCCCACUGGGGAGAUGACACCAGGCGGGUGUGCAUCAAGGGCGGGCCGGGUCAACAGCUGCCCAAGGUGCGGCCCCUUCAUGGGGCUGCCCGAGGAGUGCUCUAGGGUCCCUGCUUUCCCGCCCCCAGUGGAACUUACUCGUCAUCCGGGGUCAGCUGCACGGGCUCACUGGUGAACUGGGUGUCAAAAUUGUCCAGACCAUAGUCGUCUGUGAUCUGUGGCUGGAAUGGAGGGAGCGCCUGCUUCUUCUCCAGCUUGGAAAAACAACGCGAGAAGAGUCAGCUCCACGCGGGCGUCACCCUUACCAGAUUCAGUAUUUUAAACGCACUUGAAUCACAAAAUGAAAUAGUAAGAAACUCAGCAUUUCAAUCUGCCUA